Pezoporus occidentalis (night parrot) is the source of this 1989-nucleotide long non-coding RNA. RefSeq lists it as uncharacterized. The transcript is spliced from 3 exons. The record is from RefSeq and is a predicted model, not a curated record. Lineage: Eukaryota; Metazoa; Chordata; Aves; Psittaciformes; Psittacidae.
GCAUGCACACACGUCCGUGAACAAAAAUUUCAUUCAUAUGCUUGGGUUGUUUCCUCCUGAUGUAUUCUUUAGUUAGCAGUGUGAAUGGGGCAGCUAGUAUUCAUCUUAUUUACCAGUAUGGAUCAUUAGUGAAUGCUUAAUAACUGUAGUAAUAUGGGUUUUAUAGAAUUUGAAGCUCUUUCCCUUUAGUGCUUCUCCUGCCAUGUGCUUUCAGCCCUUCAGAUGAGAGUCCUAUGGAGGCACAUCAGGAAAGAGAAUGUGCUUCUAGGAAAAUACAAGUCCUCAGUCUGUCAGAACAUAUUAAGUGUUUGCUGAACCAUCAGUCAAGUCUCCAUCAAACCUGCUGUCUUUGGGCCUGAUCCUGCAUGUAUAGAAAUGAAUUGGUGCUUUCUUACUGUUCAGCUGAGAAAAGAAAAAGCCCAUUGUAGUCUAAAGAGAGCCUGAGAUUGGAGCUCAUUAUGCACUGCUUGUCACUGCAUAAGGGAGUCUUGUUCCUUCUGACAAUCAGAUUGUGGCCUAAGUUGUAAAGCCUGGUAUAAUGUAUUUCCAUAUGCAGUCUCCUGUAUUUGUAUAGUUUAUAGCAAAGACUAUGAGCAUAACUAAUGUUUGUGUAUGGGAUGGCAGAAUGAAAGCAACUAUUGAGCUUUCUAACCAUCAAAGGAAAUGCAGACCCCCUGAGUCUGAAGCUUUGAUUUAUAUGAUCCUGAAUUGACUUACACAGUAAUAAUACUCUAUUCUUUCUUCUGGACCUCAGACCUUCAAAUGGGGCCUGGACUUAGUAUUUAGUGAUUUUUGUGUUACCAUGACAAUAUCUGAAGUUAGUCAUGAGCUUGAUUUUCCAGAACAGAUUGCACAACUUUCACACUUCUUUUUGCUCACCUCCUCAGCACUUACCUGAGCUUUUCAGCUCCCUGAAUUUUAGUGUCGGUACUGAAGAGCCACAACCAAACUAGAUUCAGCUCCACCUCUUAUCCACAUAGUUGUAAUCUAUAUGUUUAUACAGUUUUUAAAGCUGCUAGCAAGUGGUUUAAAAGUGGUUGCAUCUUCUUCCCUAUCCAGGCAGGUCUGUUUUUAAGAAGAGCCAGCACUGAAAUGAAUUAGUCCAAGACCAAAAUCUUCCUAUAUUUGGUCAUCGUUACAUCUUACCCCUACCCUCCUCUGGCAGACUCAAGGAUCAGGGAGUUUUGAUUCACUGUCUGAGGGAUUACUGAGGCUGAAAUGAACAUUUUACAGCAGCACAAGCUGAAAUGGCAUGCUACUGAAGAUGUGAAACUCAAUUAAAAGAUUUACCAGCUGUAUGGUUGUACACUUACAUCCUGAGUGCCAGAAUGGACUGUAUCUCUUCUAACUGGAUCAAAACAGAGAGGAAAUAUGAUCAUAAAGCUACUUCAAAGAACAUGUUCCCAAAGGUGAGAGCAAACAGCACAUUUUCAUUUCAGCAGCCUGCUCUGUAACAACUCUGUGGCUUCAUGUGAAAAUAAACAUAGCAGAAGAUAGACAAAACCUGCAUUGUGCACUCUAUCUGGUAAGCAAUGUCUUUGGCUCUCUGGUGCUGCCAGGGAGCAGCUUUUGAACUGCUCUGAAGAAAAUAACCUCUGGCAUUUCUUGUACCAUCAGUAGGAAUCCCUUACCUUGAGUAAACUAAGUAAGUACACAGAAAAGUUAUAAACCUCACCCAGUAGUAGAAUGAGCAAACACAAGGUUAUAAACAACUGAUCUCCAGAAAGGGGCUGAUUCUGAUGUUAAAUACACAGGUGAAGGAUCUUCCCAAAGGAUAUUUUCUAGUAAUUAAAAGUUAUGUUCGGUACUAAAGAAAAAGGGCACUUGGGGGGGAAAAGAAGAAAGAUGGUUGACUGGAAGGCAGGAGCUGAAUGCUAACACUGGGAUAAGACUCAGUGAAUCCCUGAAAUGGGUUUAGCAGAUGCAGAUAAAAUAAAUAUGGCAUAAAAAUUCUGAUUUUUUUUACUUUCAGUGGCUCCUGCUACCCAG